Molecule: long non-coding RNA, 1084 nt
Organism: Sycon ciliatum
Lineage: Eukaryota; Metazoa; Porifera; Calcarea; Leucosolenida; Sycettidae
Exons: 2
Source: RefSeq, a predicted model, not a curated record
CCAUCGGCAUCGUGUGGUCGAAGCGAACACGCGAUGACGCGAUGCUUAUGGGCCGUGCAGCCAAUGCUCAAUAGAAGUAUAUCAAGUGGACUUCUGGAACACCAUAGCACUAUUUCCAAUGGAUUUCCGUUGAGUUUGGAUGCCGGUGUGACUGUGUCUUCUUCCCGACCCAAGCUACUGAGUCGAAAAGUCGUUUACGAGGCUCCAGUUGAUCUCUGGUGAGGAGGACUGAGGAGAAAUGGCCACGUUUUACCCCUACUUUAGUCCGUGCCCCAUCGGGGACUGCGCGCAAUAUUUGGACCAGCUUAUGAACUGGGAUGUGAAGAAAUGCGGAGGCACGGCGUUUCUCAGCGACCGCGGCACGUUUGCCUGCGGGCACAUGGUGAGGGACUCCCAGUGCAGGUACUGCUGUGGCCAGGGCACCACCGAGUUCCCGUUCGUCGAGGCCUCGUUUGCAUGCAAGAAUCACCGCUCCUUGUACAAGCAGUGUCACGACUAUGGGGACUUUAUGGCCGCUAUGAACACCCUGGUCGAGUUCAUCGACCUCGCAAAGCCAGCAGGUGUAGAAAGUCAGACAUUCCGGCGCUGGCUGCAGCGCACCACCAGAGCAGUUGUAAACCAGUAUUCAGGAAGCUGUAGCACUCCAACACGCACCCUACUAGAGCACCAUGCACCCUAGCAGCACUGCCGGGGUACAGAACUCGGAUGACCGUCCACUUUCGCGCUCCCAGUAUGCUGUUGAUACUAAUACAUAUUAAACAUGUACAUGUAUUAUGCCGCGUUGUCAGUUAUACUACUCAGACCCUGGUCUACACUGUAGUGUGAGCGAGGCAUCGUCCUUGCUACUCCUGCUCUCAGCCUGCCAAGCAAUACACCUUCAUUGUGACCAGAUUAUUUUACAUUUAAAGCUAGGAGCACACGUCCUACCUCUUACUGAGUCUUAGUCUUAGGCAUCAGGUCACUUCGCUGCUGCUGCCCAGCAUUGCUUGCUGCCUUGUGAAUUUUUUAGCAUUCGCCUUCUACAUGUACAUGUAUGUGAAUACUGUAAUGUAUAAGCAUUGAAUGAUGACAUGCCAUCACAACA